UACAGAGGGUGCGAGCGUUAAUCGGAAUUACUGGGCGUAAAGGGCGCGUAGGUGGUUAGAUAAGUGCGUUGUGAAAUCCCUGGGCUUAACCUAGGAACUGCAACUUAUACUGUUUGACUAGAGUACGGUAGAGGGCAGUGGAAUUUCCGGUGUAGCGGUGAAAUGCGUAGAUAUCGGAAGGAACAUCAGUGGCGAAGGCGGCUCACUGGACUGGUAUUGACGCUGAGGUGCGAAAGCGUGGGGAGCAAACAGG
RNAcentral lists this ribosomal RNA (253 nucleotides) under uncultured bacterium. RNAcentral describes it as "partial 16S ribosomal RNA". It matches the Rfam family "Bacterial small subunit ribosomal RNA", at positions 524 to 776 of the family's 1533-position model. The record is from RNAcentral.